This 2781-nucleotide long non-coding RNA is filed under the name Carica papaya (papaya). Its description in RNAcentral is "long non-coding RNA (CPAP_LNC007839)". Lineage: Eukaryota; Viridiplantae; Streptophyta; Magnoliopsida; Brassicales; Caricaceae. The record is from RNAcentral.
CUUACUUCAGACUCUUGGGGAAUGAUGUUUGGUAAGGGAAUUUCUUCUCUUCUUUGUAACUGGUUUUUAGGUGUGGUUACUGUGUCGUUGUUUGCUAUUGGCAGUGGUGUGUCAUAGUAAUCUGGUUUAGGGUAUUUUGUUUGGUAUGGAAAAAUAUGUUCAUGAAAUAUGACAUCCCUUGACAAAAUCGUUUUUUUGUUUGUUAUAUCAUAUAAUUUGUAGGCAUUUGCAUCAGGUGCAUACCCUAAGAAAACACAUUUUAAAGCCCUAGGUUCAAACUUGUCUUUUUGAGGAUUAACAUUUGUAGUAAAACAUAGAUAACUGAAGACUUUUAGCUUUGAGUAAUCUGGCUGCUUUUUGUACAGAACUUCAUAAGGAGUUUUUCAUUUUAAAAUAGAGCUUGACAAAACGUUUAUUAUGUGUGUGGCUGUGAGUACGACUUCAUCCUAAAAACUUUUUGGUAAUUUUAAUUCAAACAUCAAUGCCCUAUUAAUUUGUAAUAGGUGUUUAUGUUUCCUCUCCACCACAUCAUUUUACUAUGGUGUGUAUGUACAGGAUUUUUUAUGCAUGAUUCUUUUUCUUGAAAUUUUUUUUACAUAAAGUGUUUAUGAACUCAGUGCCAUUGUCUGUCAUAACUGUUUUGAUUAUUUUCUGAAAUUGGUUUUGUGUUAGAUUGUAAAAAUAUUUCAAGGUAUUUUGUAUACUCAUUUUCUCUUUUAAUAAAUAAGUUUAAGCGGUUCUUGAGAAAUCAUCAACUAUAGUUAAAAAAUAAAGUGCACCAGAGAUACAAUUAACUAGGUAUGGUCCCAAAGGUCAACAUAUAUUAAACUAAAAAUGCCACUGGUAUUGAUAAAAUUUUUAGAAAAAGACAAGUGUUACUGUUUUACCAAUGGGCAUAUUUCACAAUCAUGUAGAGCUGCACUGGUAACUUUAGAUUGGGAAUGUGGAUCAAUUUUUGUGUGGAUGUGUGGUCGAGUCUUUUGUGCCAUAGUUGUAGGUUAUUUUCUUGGGUGUGGCUAAUGCAUGCUUUGAUAGGGUCAAUGUCUUCAUUCAUGGUGUACAGGCCCUUCAUUAUUGUUCCCUUCCUCAAUAUUUUGUUAGUUGUCAAAUCCUGUACAAAAUAAUGGUUGGGAUAAAAGGAAAUGUAGGUAUUUGAAGCUUGGGUUAGUUUUCUGACAGAAAUAAGGUUACAAGUGAAUUUUGGUAUAUAGAGGACAUCAUGUAGAAUUAAAUUGUCACACAGCUUUAUGGUUCUUUUGUGGGUUGAAUGACUCAUGGUUCCGUCUAGUAGCGAGACAAGAACUGCAGGUUCUAGUUUUAUGGGUUUUGAAAGCAUUUUGAAAUCAUGGCAUAUGUGUGAUAUGACACCUGUGUCUAUUAUUCAAGUUCCUAUAUCAUUAAAGACAUGUAAAAAACAACAUUUAAGUUACUUACCAGGGGGGGCAGAGUAGCCCACGCACCCUGUCGAUUAUGCUGUGUUUGUUCCUUAGUUUUUCAUGUAUUUGCUGAUCUCUUGUUGUAUGAGUGUGGCUAUUUUUGUGCCCUAGUUUGUGUUGAAUGCUUCUGUUUUGGUGCUAUCAGGGGCAUUGUUUGCCACUGCAUUGGCCUUUUCUUUAUUCCUUUUCCCUUUGAGUUUUGUAAACCAUUCUAGGUAGCCAUGGAGCUUGAAGCAUGUGUCCUUCGUGUGCCCUGAGUUUUUGCAAUAAGUGCAUAUCCUACUGUCCUUUUCUUUUUUUCGGUUUGAGAAUUUUAGAUUGUCUUUCAGGUUGGUGUAAAAUGCAGUAGGUGUCCCUUUAGGUGAGUUGUUAUUAUGUACUUCUUUUUAUUUUUCAACACUAAUCACCAUGGAAUAAGCUCUAUUCACACCGGGUAAGGGAUCCAUGAUCAAUAUUUGGUUUCUAACAUGGUCGUAUGAGUCAUUAAGACCCAUUAGAAAUUAGAUCAAGUUGUCGGUAUUGUCUAUUUCACUAUGUUGUGUUGCAGCAUGGCAGGUGCAAGUAGGUAAAGGCCUUAGGUGUGUUAAUUCAUCCCUUAGCCUUUUGAGUUUUAUAUAAUAGGCUAUGACAGAAAGGUUAUAUUGCGUGAUAGAACUUAUUUUGCAUUUUAGUUGAUAUAACAUAGGUCCGUUACUUUCACCAUACCUUUCUUUUAUUUCAUCCCACAAGUUUUUUGCUGAUGUGGUGAAUAGGAAGGCGCUAGCGAGCUCUUUAUUCAUCGAGUUCAGAAUCCAAGACACCACCAUGCUGUUUGUUUUGUGUCAUUCUUCAUAUCCUACUGCAUCGGGUUCGGGCUUCUUGCAUCUGCCAUCGACGAGGGCGAGGUUGUCAUUGGCUCUCAAUGCAAUCACCAUGGCUCGGCUCUAAGACAAGUAGUUGGAGCCAUCAAGUGUCAACACGUCUGUAUUAGGGUUUGCCAUUGAGCAGUAUGGUAAUAUGGUAAGGUAGAAAUUAGGAGAAUCAGUGCUUAUUACAGGCAUUGUUCUCAUACCAUGUAAAAAGCUCAACUGGGUAAAAUAGAGAGCAUUUAAAGCUCAUUAAUUUUCUGAUGUAUAUUUAUUGAAUGGUACCUUAGGAAUAUAUAUAUAUACAGGGGAAUAAAUGAAAAGAUGAUGAGGAUGGUCUCUAGAAUCUUUAGAGACCACCAGCAGUCCUCAACAUUUUAAACAGAAAAGAAAGAUCUAGACCCUUCAUUUUAGGGUUUUGAUCUGGGCGGUCCACCUGCCCGUUUCUUUCAGUUUUUUUAUUUUUAUCUUAGAUUCUUUUUAAGAUUUAAUCUCAAACA